CUGUCCCGCCAACUGCACACAUUAAUAACAACUGUGUGUGACCUUCCGUCACUGGGCAGCACUGCCGGGUCACCAGGGACAUCACUUUCGGAGGGAAAGUCACCCCUGGUGCGCUGUGCUGACUGCCCUAGCAAGUCGGAUAGGAAGACCCGGCACCGAUGCAACAGGUGUGCAAAACCAAUGUGCCCUCGGCACCUGUACCCCACCUGUGGUGACUGCAUGUAAAACCUCCCAGUGGCAGUAGAGGGGUGUACCUGACUGAGGCUAAGGUUUAAUGACCUAAGAAGCAGUGCACACAAGAAGAAGUCUCUGUUUUCAAUACUUUUUUUUUGACAAUUUUUUUUUCAAAAUUCACAGUAAAAUUUACUCUUUUAGUUUACUUAACAAUAAAAUCACUUAUAAUAUUAAAAUAUGAUACAAAAUAAAUUUAUCAAACACCAUUCAAAAGCUAAAGAGCUAUUUUUCUUCUGUAUACUUUGUAAUAAAAAUUAAUUGAAAAACAA
This is a long non-coding RNA of Eriocheir sinensis (Chinese mitten crab), 503 nucleotides long. RefSeq lists it as uncharacterized. The record is from RefSeq and is a predicted model, not a curated record. The transcript is spliced from 2 exons. Lineage: Eukaryota; Metazoa; Arthropoda; Malacostraca; Decapoda; Varunidae.